Molecule: ribosomal RNA, 367 nt
Filed under: uncultured bacterium
Lineage: Bacteria
Description: partial 16S ribosomal RNA
Rfam family: Bacterial small subunit ribosomal RNA
Source: RNAcentral
CCUACGGGUGGCUGCAGUAGGGAAUAUUGGUCAAUGGGGGAAACCCUGAAGCAGCAAAGCAGCGUGGAGGAUGACGGUUUUAUGAGUGGAAACUUCUUUUGAUAGAGAAGAUUAUGACGGUAUCUAACGAAUAAGCACCGGCUAAGUCCGUGCAGGCAGCGGCGUUAAUACGGAGGGUGCAAGGGUUACUCGGAAUAACUGGGCGUAAAGAGUGCGUAGGGGGGGUAAUUAGUCAGUUGUGAAAUCUUGCAGCUUAACUUCAGAACUGCAUUUGAAACUGUAACUCUGGAGUGCAGUGGUGGUAGGUGGAAGUCUUGGUGUAGGGGUAAAAUCCUUAGAGAUCACGAGGAAUACUCAUUGCGAAGGC